AUGGCGGAGCCGGCGGUUACUCUGUCAGGGGGAGCCGCGGUCCUCUCGACGUGCACCUUCCCAGACAUAUGUCCUCUUGCGACGGCGACUUUGUCGGCAAAAGUUGGCCACGUCGGGCGGGCUAGUGUGGGGGAGAGGGCAUUCAUUCUUCUCUCUCACCCUCUCCCCAUCCAACCCAACUGCGUGGAUGGAGCCGGUGUGUGUCGAGGUUCGAGCUUCCCCAUGGCAAUUGACUGGCGGCGUGGCGCCGGUGCGGUGGCUGUGCGUCGAAGGUUUUCGCUGGUGGUGGAUGCUGUCACACCCCAAUCUAGCACCGCCGCGGUGACGCGGGACCCGAUGGUCACCGGCGACGCACGCGCGGCGGCGUUAUGCGGCGGCGGACGGGGCGGCACAGCGCGAGAGCGAGAGGGGAGGCUGGCGGCCGAGACAGCGGCUCAGGGAGGUAGAGGAGGAACCCUGGGUGGUGGCAGCGAAGGGAAUCGGUGCGGGACCGGUCGACGGCGGCGCGCGACUGCGCACGGCGGCGGCGGCGAGAGCGGCACAGCGCGAGAGCAAAAGGGGGCUGGGGGCGUCGGCGGCCAGGGGAAGGGAUUGGGGAGGUCGAGGGGGCCCAAGGAAGGCGAUGGCGAGCGGGUUCAAAGAGAGAGAGACCGACGGCGGUUCGCGAUUGCACACGGCGGCGGUGGAAGCAGAGCGACGGCGAGGGCGAGAUUUGGAGGACGAGUGAGCGAACCGAACGGCUCGGGAGUCAUCUACGAGUCUCCGUAAGGUGCAAACG
Molecule: long non-coding RNA, 778 nt
Filed under: Oryza sativa Indica Group (long-grained rice)
Lineage: Eukaryota; Viridiplantae; Streptophyta; Magnoliopsida; Poales; Poaceae
Description: lncRNA OsZS97_05G016420
Source: RNAcentral